GACGAACGCUGGCGGCGUGCUUAACACAUGCAAGUCGAGCGGUAAGGCCCUUUCGGGGUACGACGAGCGGCGAACGGGUGAGUAACACGUGGGUGACCUGCCCUCAGCUCUGGGAUAAGCCUGGGAAACUGGGUCUAAUACCGGAUAUGACUCCAUGACGCAUGUUGUGGGGUGGAAAGCCUUGUGCGGCUGAGGAUGGGCCCGCGGCCUAUCAGCUUGUUGGUGGGGUGAGGCCUACCAAGGCGACGACGGGUAGCCGGCCUGAGAGGGCGACCGGCCACACUGGGACUGAGACACGGCCCAGACUCCUACGGGAGGCAGCAGUGGGGAAUCUUGCGCAAUGGGCG
RNAcentral lists this ribosomal RNA (347 nucleotides) under uncultured bacterium. RNAcentral's name for it is "bacterial SSU rRNA". It matches the Rfam family "Bacterial small subunit ribosomal RNA", at positions 28 to 377 of the family's 1533-position model. The record is from RNAcentral.